This is a long non-coding RNA of Pieris rapae (cabbage white), 456 nucleotides long. RefSeq lists it as uncharacterized. NCBI's taxonomy places the organism in Eukaryota, Metazoa, Arthropoda, Insecta, Lepidoptera, Pieridae. The record is from RefSeq and is a predicted model, not a curated record. The transcript is spliced from 3 exons.
AAGAAAAACGACCAUGAUAAUCACAUUUUGCAUAAAGAAAUAUAAUUUGAAUUAAUAGAUAUUAACAGUGGCUCAUACAAAUCCAAAUCGUGUACAAAUCUAACAAUUAUUUAUAAGAUUAAAGUUUUUUUAAAGACAGUUACAUUGACAGACGAAGUUUUCAAUUCAUAGCUAAUAAACUAAUAUUAUAAUGUAUUAAUUGUGACGGUCUUCAGGCGGGGUUCUAGGAUUUAUAAAAAAACUGUAUAGCCAAAUGCAAGAAUAUGGUGGUGAUAAAACUAUUGACCAUCGCGAAGGCACUGAGGGUAGGGACAGAGGGCAAGAAAGCCUGCAUGGAAAGCAUUCUUAUACCGUGAUACAGAAACACUAUGGUUCAAAGGAAGGUGACAAAACAAGCUAUGGCAGAGUAACGACUGGGGGCUAUGACUCUUCUAACCAACAGUGUCAAAACACUAG